AUGUGCGACUGGGCGUCAGUGAGAGCGUCCGCCGCAGUGACACGUGACCUCUCUCUGUAUUUUGGGACGUUCCACACGAGGCGGGACGCAGACACGUUCACAGGCGCGAGCAGAUGUUUCUGCUCCGGGAAAACCACACGAAGAAGAAGAAGAAGAAGAAGAAGCCGCAUUGUUUCCGCAGAAGAAGAAGAGCUCAGAGACGUCGGUCCUCUGCAGACAUGGCUAAGGAUGUCCCUGGACUCUGACUGCGUGCUGCUGUCAUUGAGGGGCUCCAGGACGUCCUGCGUCCUCCAAAGCGAGGACGAGAAGGAUGACCCCCCUGGAGCGGGAGAGGAGAGUGUCCUGGAGAUGCUGAGCUGCUCCAAGUUCUCCGGGCUGGAGACAUGGCUCUGCAUGCCGUCCUCCUUACUGCUGCCCAGCGGCCCGGACCUCACCCCCACCUCCUCCUCUUCACAUGCAUCCAACCAGCCGACCUCCUCUGCCUCAUCCUCCUCAUCCUCAGCCUCCAACUGCCGUCGCUCCACCUGCAGCGAUCCAGGAGAGACGCUCAGGUCGUGGGACGGCGACUCCUCCCUCCCCCCUCCUGCUCUCCUCCCAGUCUCCUCCACCCCCGCUGGACAGUCCUCCUCCCCCCCCCUCCUCCUCCUCCGCCGGGGGGGGCAUCAGGAAGCGUCGGCGCCUUGCUGCCAGUCCCGGAGGACUCCACUGGAACUCUGCAGGUUUGGUGCAACGGGACUGGUCACCUGA
Gasterosteus aculeatus (three-spined stickleback) is the source of this 747-nucleotide long non-coding RNA. The record is from Ensembl. Lineage: Eukaryota; Metazoa; Chordata; Actinopteri; Perciformes; Gasterosteidae.